This 730-nucleotide ribosomal RNA is filed under the name uncultured bacterium. Its description in RNAcentral is "bacterial SSU rRNA". It matches the Rfam family "Bacterial small subunit ribosomal RNA", at positions 771 to 1501 of the family's 1533-position model. The record is from RNAcentral.
AACAGGAUUAGAUACCCUGGUAGUCCACGCCGUAAACGAUGUCGACUAGCCGUUGGGAUCCUUGAGAUCUUAGUGGCGCAGCUAACGCAUUAAGUCGACCGCCUGGGGAGUACGGCCGCAAGGUUAAAACUCAAAUGAAUUGACGGGGGCCCGCACAAGCGGUGGAGCAUGUGGUUUAAUUCGAUGCAACGCGAAGAACCUUACCUACUCUUGACAUCCAGAGAACUUAGCAGAGAUGCUUUGGUGCCUUCGGGAACUCUGAGACAGGUGCUGCAUGGCUGUCGUCAGCUCGUGUUGUGAAAUGUUGGGUUAAGUCCCGCAACGAGCGCAACCCUUAUCCUUUGUUGCCAGCGGUCCGGCCGGGAACUCAAAGGAGACUGCCAGUGAUAAACUGGAGGAAGGUGGGGAUGACGUCAAGUCAUCAUGGCCCUUACGAGUAGGGCUACACACGUGCUACAAUGGCAUAUACAAAGAGAAGCGACCUCGCGAGAGCAAGCGGACCUCAUAAAGUAUGUCGUAGUCCGGAUUGGAGUCUGCAACUCGACUCCAUGAAGUCGGAAUCGCUAGUAAUCGUAGAUCAGAAUGCUACGGUGAAUACGUUCCCGGGCCUUGUACACACCGCCCGUCACACCAUGGGAGCGGGUUCUGCCAGAAGUAGUUAGCCUAACCGCAAGGGGGGCGAUUACCACGGCAGGGUUCGUGACUGGGGUGAAGUCGUAACAAGGUAACC